RNAcentral lists this ribosomal RNA (342 nucleotides) under uncultured bacterium. Its description in RNAcentral is "bacterial SSU rRNA". It matches the Rfam family "Bacterial small subunit ribosomal RNA", at positions 167 to 507 of the family's 1533-position model. The record is from RNAcentral.
UACCCCGUAAUAGCUUGAGUGGCAUCACUCGGGUUUGAAAGCUCCGGCGGUACAGGAUGACCAUGCGCACGAUUAGCUAGUAGGUGAGGUAACGGCUCACCUAGGCUACGAUCGUUAGGGGGGCCUGAGAGGGUUAUCCCCCACACUGGUACUGAGACACGGACCAGACUCCUACGGGAGGCAGCAGUGAGGAAUAUUGCGCAAUGGAGGAAACUCUGACGCAGCCAUGCCGCGUGCAGGAAGACGGCCCCACGGGUUGUAAACUGCUUUUAUCAGGGAAGAAACCCCGGGACGUGUCCCGGGUUGACGGUACCUGAGGAAUAAGCACCGGCUAACUCCGUG